UGGAACCGGGUUGUAAUGGAAGCCAAUAGAUAAAUUCCAGUGCCAUAAACCGAGUCCACUACUUAAAUGAGCAACAAGUGAACGUGCCUCUGCAACUAUUUCGUAUCUCCGGCGUCGCAUCUACGUUUCAAGCUCCGAAUCCACACGCAGCGAACCAUACGACGGAUAACGAUCAUCAAAUCACGUUUCAAAUUCUCCAUCACCAACUCAAUUUAAGACUGUGACCACACAUACGUGAAAACAGAAAAAAUGGCAUUGAAAAUGGAUUGAAGAACUCACCGGAUCGAAAUCCCGAUGUAGUGGCUCGACGGAAAUAACGUCGACAAAUAGAGCUCAGAUCUUUCUUCCUCUUCUUCGCGUUCUGUAAAGGCAUAUGGAGUCAAGGCAAGAUGGUGGUAAGAUUGAAGCAUAGUGAGGCUGGACUCUAAAGGGAAUAUAUCUUAGGGAAAGGUUUUGACUUUGGUCAACGUGUAGGUUUAAAGGAAUAUUGUGUAAUUUUCUUGAUGAUUGUAUAUGAAUGUAAUAGACUUGAAACAUGUAAUGAGAGGGUCUCUUUUGAAAAAUGUUUGAAAUUGAAUUGGUAUUAAAAGUUAGAAUUGAAUUGUUAA
This is a long non-coding RNA of Lathyrus oleraceus (garden pea), 608 nucleotides long. RefSeq lists it as uncharacterized. The transcript has 2 exons. Lineage: Eukaryota; Viridiplantae; Streptophyta; Magnoliopsida; Fabales; Fabaceae. The record is from RefSeq and is a predicted model, not a curated record.